GGCUUAUGUGUUUAAAUCUCUCAAAUUCAAUCAAUGAAUAUAAUCUACCAUAAGCUUGCUCUUCAAUCUUAUCUCCAUUACUAACAUAUUACAAGCAAUGCAUGAAUCAAAAGGUCUUAUUUUCCGGUUGUAAUGGGGCUAGGGGUAAGGUGAGGAAAAAGAAAGUAAAAGGAAAGGUUCAAACCAAAGAAAGUAGAGCAUUCUGAAAAAUGAUAUUUCAAACAAGAUAUUCCAUCAAAACACAUAAAUUUUCCAUCUUUAAGCACCAAUGCUUAACUUCUUUUGAUUUCAAGCUCUUUCAACAUAAAACCUUAAGAACAUAAAGGAAUACUUUGUUUUUCUUUUCUUUUCUUUUCUUUUUCUUGUUUGUCACCUUUGGCAACUUUGCCCAUCUUUUCA
This 399-nucleotide long non-coding RNA is filed under the name Populus trichocarpa (black cottonwood). Its description in RNAcentral is "long non-coding RNA (PTRI_LNC003094)". The record is from RNAcentral. Lineage: Eukaryota; Viridiplantae; Streptophyta; Magnoliopsida; Malpighiales; Salicaceae.